GUACUCACUUCGGCAGCACAUAUACUAAAACUGGAACAAUACAGAGAAGAUUGGCAUGGCCCCUGUGCAAGGAUGACAUGAAAAUUUGUGAAGCGUUCCAUAUUUUU
Molecule: small nuclear RNA, 107 nt
Filed under: Castor canadensis (American beaver)
Lineage: Eukaryota; Metazoa; Chordata; Mammalia; Rodentia; Castoridae
Source: RNAcentral